AUCUGGCUGGCUCAGUCGGAAGAGCAUGUGGCUCUUGAUCUCAAGGCUGUGAGUUUGAGUCCCACGUUGGGUG
RNAcentral lists this transfer RNA (73 nucleotides) under Mustela putorius furo (domestic ferret). It matches the Rfam family "tRNA". From Rfam's summary of the family: Transfer RNA (tRNA) molecules are approximately 80 nucleotides in length. Their secondary structure includes four short double-helical elements and three loops (D, anti-codon, and T loops). The record is from Rfam by way of RNAcentral. Lineage: Eukaryota; Metazoa; Chordata; Mammalia; Carnivora; Mustelidae.